RNAcentral lists this ribosomal RNA (309 nucleotides) under uncultured bacterium. RNAcentral describes it as "partial 16S ribosomal RNA". It matches the Rfam family "Bacterial small subunit ribosomal RNA", at positions 504 to 808 of the family's 1533-position model. The record is from RNAcentral.
AGAGACAGCAGUCGCCACGGUAAUACGUAGGUGGCAAGCGUUGUCCGGAAUUAUUGGGCGUAAAGCGCGCGCAGGCGGAUAGGUCAGUCUGUCUUAAAAGUUCGGGGCUUAACCCCGUGAUGAGAUGGAAACUUCCAACCUAGAGUAUCGGAGAGGAAAGUGGAAUUCCUAGUGUAGCGGUGAAAUGCGUAGAUAUUAGGAAGAACACCAGUGGCGAAGGCGACUUUCUGGACGAAAACUGACGCUGAGGCGCGAAAGCCAGGGGAGCGAACGGGAUUAGAUACCCCUGUAGUCCCUGUCUCUUAUACC